AUGAAAAGUAAAGGGCAACGAAGUUUGCACAUCGAGGAACCGGAAAUUUUUGAAGAUGCAAAUAUGGAGAAGUGUUGGCGUCGUGCUAUGAAUGAAGAGUUGUGGUCGAUCCGAGACAACAAUACAUGGGAGCUCGCGGAUCUUCCCAACGGUCAGAAUGCCAUAGAGCUCAAGUGGGUGUACAAAGUCAAGAAAGAUGCCGAAAAAAACUUGAUGAAGCAUAAAGCAAGGCUUGUAGCUAAAGCAUGCGUGCAAGAGCAAGAUGUGGACUUCGAAGAAGUGUUCGCUCCAGUUGCAAGGAUGGACUCGGUGAGACUACUUAUAGCUCUCGCGGCUCAAGAAUCUUGGAGGAUACAUCACUUGGAUGUGAACUCCGCGUUUUUGACCGGGGAGUUAGAAGAAGAAUUGUAUGUGAAGCAACCACCAGGGUACAUCCAAGAAGGAGAGGAACACAAGGUAUUGAAGCUACACAAGGCGUUGUACGGGCUACGACAAGCUCCUCAGGCAUGGAAUGUUGAGCUUGACCGUACAUUUAUUUCUCUUGGAUUUGAGAAAGCCCCACUAGAGCAUGCUAUGUACAAGCAAGGUGAUGGCAAUGAUCGUCUACUAGUGGGCAUCUAUGUGGAUGAUUUGCUGAUAACUGGAGCAGACGAAGAGGUGAUUGCAAACUUCAAACUACAAAUGAAGAAGCUAUUCAAGAUGACUGAUCUAGGGCUCUUGAGUUACUACCUCGGGAUCGAGGUACAGCAAAAGCCGGAGGGGAUCAUAAUAUGA
This 774-nucleotide ribosomal RNA is filed under the name Triticum aestivum (bread wheat). RNAcentral's name for it is "partial small subunit ribosomal RNA". Lineage: Eukaryota; Viridiplantae; Streptophyta; Magnoliopsida; Poales; Poaceae. The record is from RNAcentral.